UGGGCUUAAGGGUGCGUAGGCGGGCCCGCAAGUGCUUUGUGAAAUCCCCUGGCUCAACCAGGGAACAGCGGGGCAUACUGCGGGUCUUGAGGAAGGUAGGGGCCGCCAGAACUGUAGGUGGAGCGGUGAAAUGCGUAGAUAUCUACAGGAAUGCCGAUGGUGAAGACGGGCGGCUGGGCCUUUCCUGACGCUGAGGCACGAAAGCGUGGGGAGCAAACAGGAUUAGAUACCCUGGUAGUCCACGCCGUAAACGAUGCACGCUAGAUCGGUGCCGCUCUCACGCGGGAUCGGUCGUAGUAAAAACGAUAAGCGUGCCGCCUGGGGAGUACGGUCGCAAGGCUAAAACUCAAAGGAAUUGACGGGGGCUCACACAAGCGGUGGAGCAUGUUGCUUAAUUCGAGGCAACGCGAAGAACCUUACCUGGGUUUGACAUGCACGGAUUAACCCCAUGAAAGUGGGGCCACGCCCGCAAGGGUGGAACGUGCACAGGUGCUGCAUGGCUGUCGUCAGCUCGUGCUGUGAAGUGUCGGGUUAAGUCCUCUAACGAGCGCAACCCCUGUCGUCAGUUGCUCACGCGUCAUGGCGAGUACUCUGGCGAGACUGCCGGCGUCAAGCCGGAGGAAGGCGGG
This 629-nucleotide ribosomal RNA is filed under the name uncultured bacterium. Its description in RNAcentral is "bacterial SSU rRNA". It matches the Rfam family "Bacterial small subunit ribosomal RNA", at positions 555 to 1177 of the family's 1533-position model. The record is from RNAcentral.